Long non-coding RNA from Eptesicus fuscus (big brown bat), 206 nucleotides. RefSeq lists it as uncharacterized. The record is from RefSeq and is a predicted model, not a curated record. The transcript has 3 exons. Lineage: Eukaryota; Metazoa; Chordata; Mammalia; Chiroptera; Vespertilionidae.
CUGAAUGAGUCACCCAUCUUGGAUGAAGUCGGCGUUUGGCCUGUGUGUCUGAAGGCUGUGUGCACGCCAGUUGCCCAAAUUUCCAGGUCCCAGCACUUGGACGCCAUGCAGUUCUACGAAGCCGUUUUGGCGCAGUCAUUUUGAUUAACAUCAACCUUGCUUAUGUUGAGAGUCGUGUGUCUUCUGCCAGCUUCCAUGGAUGCAGA